Long non-coding RNA from Gasterosteus aculeatus aculeatus (three-spined stickleback), 1959 nucleotides. NCBI's taxonomy places the organism in Eukaryota, Metazoa, Chordata, Actinopteri, Perciformes, Gasterosteidae. The record is from Ensembl.
CCCCCCUUCCGCUGGAUCUGUUUGAUCAAAAAUGGACAAAAUGGAGGAUCCCGGCCGCCGUUUGAAGACAGUGAAUCUGUGAGAGGUUGCGGGUUGGAUUCCGAGGUGCAGGCGGAGGAGCUCAGUCCGAGGAGCUUUUUUUGUUGUGUUUCUUGCUCCCUUCUGGCCUGGUUCUUCUCCCAGGACGCUGUCUUUUGUUGCCCUCAGGACGUGACUAAGAAUGUCUCCGAUCUUCCAGAGGAGCCGUCCCACUCCCCUGUCUUCCCGAACAAAAUGUCCUCCCGAACCUCUGAGAAAACACACAAUUUGGAUUCUUCCAUUCACCCCUCUCCCCCCCCUGAAUGGAAUCCCUACUCUGCAGGAACCAUCCACUCUUCCUCACCAGCUAUUUGUACCGGCGCUAUUGGCUUUCCCUUAAGUGGACACGAGAAUGAAGGAACGCAUUGGCGGGAUUUUUACCUGGACGGAAGGAUUGUCCACACGGAUGCAGAAGGAGUCAGAACCAACAGCAGCAUCAUCUCCAAGAAAAGAAAAUACACAGAGGGAUUCUCAAACCGCCGCGAAGCUCUCCCCCUCCAAACAGGAUCCCGCUUUUCGGCUUUUGACGUGACCACGCUUCUUCCUCAUCGUCUUCCUCCUCCCGCCCCCCCCCUGCCGACUCAUUCGAGUCUCCUUCCGACGCCGAGGAUGAAAUUUAGAAGAAAAAAUAAAAUCACACCCUCGUGCGUCCGGGACGCCGCAACACGUCGACCCGGCGGACCAGAGUCUCGUGGUCAUCCAGCGAACGGGCUGGAAUUACUAUGAAUGAUUUUGACAGCUUGAAAAUAAAAAAGACACUACAAAGAAUGUAAUAUAAUGGAGAAGCCCUGCUCCAGUGGACAAUGUACUUUUAUUUUGAAAGUUACAUUUUAGUUUUUUUUACUUUCUAUUUUCAUUGUUUUGUUGUGUUAUGUGUAAAGUAACAAACGUUUGUUUUGAGCGUGCGAAUGACUCGUGUGUGUGUGUGUGUGUGUGUGUGUGUUGAAAACGUCUUUGAAGUACUAUCAGUAAUUGUGUCGGUUUUAAAGCCACUUUCGAGGAAGUGAAGAUGACAGAAAUUUACAGUUUUUAAACGUGAAAAACUGGACUGUUAUUUCUUUCUUUUCUUUUUUUCCCGCUUUCGUGUCAUUAAGAAAAUCAACAAAAACUUGGUCAGCAGUGGCAUUUAUCUGUGGACGCACGGGGGGGGGGAGGAGCUCCGUCUCCGUGGUAACAGUUUGAGAUGACGCCCCUGGAGGAAGAUCCGAGCAGUGAGGUGAAGGUGUCUAAGGAGGGAAAUCUGAUGGGUUAUUUUAUUUGUAUUUUUCUCAGAGCACAUCAUACAGGUUUAACCCACCGGACUAUAUCCUUGUUUUUCCCUUGAAACUAUACUUAUGCGAAUGUUUCUGAACUCGUCAUAUAAUACAACACCUCCGUCCUUAAUACAGCUCUACUGCUCUUUCUUCGUUCUUUGGCAAUGCGUCGUUCUUUUAGGGUUUUUUUUUCUCUUUAUUCGAAAAGAAAAAAGGACCUGUUUGGAAAAUAUGCAAGACAUGUUGGGAAGGAGAAGGAAACCAGAAUGUACUGUAAAAUACUUCUUUCCUUUACUUAAAUGUUGGACAUUUGAAGAAACAAAAAAAAAAAACAAGUAACAAAAAGCCAGAGUUAAUGUUUGUCAUCGUAUGCCUUCCGUUGCCAUAUGAUCUAAACAUGUAGAUCUAACGUUCUCUCAAUCUUUAUUUGUCAUUUUUUAUUUGACAUGAUGACAUGUUUUUCUUUCUUUGCCUUGUUUGUUGUUUUUGUCAAGGAGCUCUAGGUACAUGUAACUUAUGUCAUUUAUUUAUGUCCUUUUAUAUCUAGUUUGUAAAAUAAUAGCCUAAAGUGAAGAAAAUAAAAGGGGGUGCCAAAGUGCAUUCUUAAUAAAGUAGAAACCAUACGACG